Long non-coding RNA from Gadus macrocephalus (Pacific cod), 273 nucleotides. RefSeq lists it as uncharacterized. The transcript has 2 exons. The record is from RefSeq and is a predicted model, not a curated record. Lineage: Eukaryota; Metazoa; Chordata; Actinopteri; Gadiformes; Gadidae.
GGUAAUUUGGCCUACACAACGGCGACACCAAGAGGCGAAGCCUAUUGCAGCCAAAUUGCUUUUCGUUGGAGACACGGUGAGGGAGAAAUUCCCCAACAGCAUGGUUAGUGAGAUCCGGGCCCUGCUGCGGAGGAAAUGCAAUAAUGAGGGCUACACCAAGGUUGCUCCUCAGUAGCUUUAUUAUAUAUGUUAUAUAUGUCAGACGUUUUAAAGUUAGGUGUUGUUGAAUGUAUGUUUGUAUUAAUAUUUAAAUUAAAGUUUUGGUUUGUACAA